UUUCUCCGCCGGCGACCGGCGCACGGGUGAGUAACACGUAUGCAACCUGCCCCUGUCAGGGGGACAACCCGCCGAAAGGCGGGCUAAACCCGCGUACAUGCCACCGGGCAUCCCGGAGGCAGGAAGGGCUUCGGCCGGACAGGGAUGGGCAUGCGGCGCAUUAGGCAGUAGGCGGGGUAACGGCCCACCUAACCGACGAUGCGUAGGGGUUCUGAGAGGAAGGUCCCCCACACUGGUACUGAGACACGGACCAGACUCCUACGGGAGGCAGCAG
RNAcentral lists this ribosomal RNA (274 nucleotides) under uncultured bacterium. Its description in RNAcentral is "partial 16S ribosomal RNA". It matches the Rfam family "Bacterial small subunit ribosomal RNA", at positions 80 to 354 of the family's 1533-position model. The record is from RNAcentral.